CCCAUUUAGCGGCCUUAAAGGCUUCAGCGAUGUAAAGAGGGAAUGGAAAGCAGGAGGGAGGAUAAUCCCGGGAGAGCAGCCCUGUUAUUUUGGGGAGCAAAACGCCACAAAAGACAGGAAAGUGGGAUGGUGACAACAACAACAAUAAAUGUGUCUUUUUGGAGAGGAUGUCCAUAUUCUGUGGAGAGAAAAAGCAACAUAUAAAUAAACAAAACAACAACAACGACUGACUCUGCGGCAAAUCCAUUCGUAUCUGGACAGACAGGAAAGUGGGAUGGUGACAACAACAACAAUAAAUGUGUCUUUUUGGAGAGGAUGUCCAUAUUCUGUGGAGAGAAAAAGCAACAUAUAAAUAAACAAAACAACAACAACGACUGACUCUGCGGCAAAUCCGUUCGUAUCUGGACAGACAGGAAAGUGGGAUGGUGACAACAACAACAAUAAAUGUGUCUUUUUGGAGAGGAUGUCCAUAUUCUGUGGAGAGAAAAAGCGACAUAUAAAUAAACAAAACAACAACA
Anolis carolinensis (green anole) is the source of this 518-nucleotide long non-coding RNA. RefSeq lists it as uncharacterized. The record is from RefSeq and is a predicted model, not a curated record. The transcript is spliced from 4 exons. Lineage: Eukaryota; Metazoa; Chordata; Lepidosauria; Squamata; Anolidae.